GGAUUGUAGGCUGCGACUCGCCUACAUGAAGUCGGAAUCGCUAGUAAUCGCGGAUCAGCAUGCCGCGGUGAAUACGUUCCCGGGCCUUGUACACACCGCCCGUCACACCAUGAGAGUUUGUAACACCCAAAGCCGGUGGGGUAACCUUUUGGAGCCAGCCGUCUAAGGUGGGACAGAUGAUUGGGGUGAAGUCGUAACAAGGUAUC
RNAcentral lists this ribosomal RNA (206 nucleotides) under uncultured bacterium. RNAcentral describes it as "partial 16S ribosomal RNA". It matches the Rfam family "Bacterial small subunit ribosomal RNA", at positions 1295 to 1500 of the family's 1533-position model. The record is from RNAcentral.